RNAcentral lists this ribosomal RNA (490 nucleotides) under uncultured bacterium. RNAcentral's name for it is "partial 16S ribosomal RNA". It matches the Rfam family "Bacterial small subunit ribosomal RNA", at positions 30 to 507 of the family's 1533-position model. The record is from RNAcentral.
AUUGAACGCUGGCGGCAUGCCUUACACAUGCCAGUCGAACGGCAGCGUGAUCUAGCUUGCUAGAUUGAUGGCGAGUGGCGAACGGGUGAGUAAUACAUCGGCACGUGCCCUGUAGUGGGGGAUAACUAGUCGAAAGAUUAGCUAAUACCGCAUACGACCUGAGGGUGAAAGUGGGGGACCGCAAGGCCUCAUGCUAUAGGAGCGGCCGAUGUCUGAUUAGCUAGUUGGUGAGGUAAAGGCUCACCAAGGCGACGAUCAGUAGCUGGUCUGAGAGGACGAGCAGCCACACUGGGACUGAGACACGGCCCAGACUCCUACGGGAGGCAGCAGUGGGGAAUUUUGGACAAUGCGCGAAAGCCUGAUCCAGCAAUGCCGCGUGUGUGAAGAAGGCCUUCGGGUCUUAAAGCACUUUGGUCCGGAAAGAAAUGGCUCUGGUUAAUACCUUGGGUCGAUGACGGUACCGUAAGAAUAAGGACCGGCUAACUACGUG